AUGGGGUAGCAAUACCCUGAUGGCGACCGGCAAACGGGUGCGGAACACGUACGCAACCUUCCUUUAACUGGAGAAUAGCCCCUCGAAAGAGGGAUUAAUACUCCGUAACAUGAUGAUAAGGCAUCUUAUUAUUAUUAUAGCUCCGGCGGUUAGAGAUGGGCGUGCGCCUGAUUAGGUAGUUGGCGGGGUAACGGCCCACCAAGCCUGCGAUCAGUAACUGGUGUGAGAGCACGACCAGUCACACGGGCACUGAGACACGGGCCCGACUCCUACGGGAGGCAGCAGUAAGGAAUAUUGGUCAAUGGACGCAAGUCUGAACCAGCCAUGCCGCGUGGAGGAUUAAGGCCCUCUGGGUUGUAAACUCCUUUUAUCUGGGAAGAAAUCCAUAUAUUCUUAUAUGGUUGACGGUACCAGAGGAAUAAGCACCGGCUAACUCCGUGCCAGCAGCCGCGGUAAUACGGAGGGUGCAAGCGUUAUCCGGAUUCACUGGGUUUAAAGGGUGCGUAGGCGGGUAAGUAAGUCCGUGGUGAAAUCUCUGAGCUUAACUCAGAAACUGCCGUGGAUACUAUUUGCCUUGAAUAUUGUGGAGGUGAGCGGAAUAUGUCAUGUAGCGGUGAAAUGCUUAGAUAUGACAUAGAACACCAAUUGCGAAGGCAGCUCACUACACAAUCAUUGACGCUGAGGCACGAAAGCGUGGGGAUCAAACAGGAUUAGAUACCCUGGUAGUCCACGCCCUAAACGAUGAUUACUCGACAUCAGCGAUACACUGUUGGUGUCUGAGCGAAAGCAUUAAGUAAUCCACCUGGGAAGUACGAUCGCAAGAUUGAAACUCAAAGGAUUGAC
RNAcentral lists this ribosomal RNA (843 nucleotides) under uncultured Sphingobacteriia bacterium. Its description in RNAcentral is "bacterial SSU rRNA". It matches the Rfam family "Bacterial small subunit ribosomal RNA", at positions 71 to 914 of the family's 1533-position model. The record is from RNAcentral. Lineage: Bacteria; Pseudomonadati; Bacteroidota; Sphingobacteriia.